UACGGAGGGGGCUAGCGUUGUUCGGAAUUACUGGGCGUAAAGCGUGCGCAGGCGGCUAUGCAAGACAGAUGUGAAAUCCCCGGGCUCAACCUGGGAACUGCAUUUGUGACUGCAUGGCUAGAGUACGGCAGAGGGGGAUGGAAUUCCGCGUGUAGCAGUGAAAUGCGUAGAUAUGCGGAGGAACACCGAUGGCGAAGGCAAUCCCCUGGGCCUGUACUGACGCUCAUGCACGAAAGCGUGGGGAGCAAACAGG
RNAcentral lists this ribosomal RNA (253 nucleotides) under uncultured bacterium. Its description in RNAcentral is "partial 16S ribosomal RNA". It matches the Rfam family "Bacterial small subunit ribosomal RNA", at positions 524 to 776 of the family's 1533-position model. The record is from RNAcentral.